CCUACGGGCGGCAGCAGUGGGGAAUAUUGGGCAAUGGAGGAAACUCUGACCCAGCAACGCCGCGUGAAUGAUGAAGGUCUUCGGAUUGUAAAGUUCUAUCAAUAGGGAAGAAAGAAAUGACGGUACCUAAAUAAGAAGCCCCGGCUAACUACGUGCCAGCAGCCGCGGUAAUACGUAGGGGGCAAGCGUUAUCCGGAAUUACUGGGUGUAAAGGGAGAGUAGGCGGCAAGGUAAGCGAUAUGUGAAAGCCUUAGGCUUAACCAAAGGAUUGCAUAACGAACUAUCUAGCUAGAGUACAGGAGAGGAAAGCGGAAUUCCUAGUGUAGCGGUGAAAUGCGUAGAUAUUAGGAAGAACACCAGUGGCGAAGGCGGCUUUCUGGACUGAAACUGACGCUGAGGCUCGAAAGCGUGGGGAGCGAACAGGAUUAGAUACCCGGGUAGUC
RNAcentral lists this ribosomal RNA (443 nucleotides) under uncultured bacterium. RNAcentral describes it as "partial 16S ribosomal RNA". It matches the Rfam family "Bacterial small subunit ribosomal RNA", at positions 338 to 795 of the family's 1533-position model. The record is from RNAcentral.